Non-coding RNA from Cordylochernes scorpioides, 5857 nucleotides. Lineage: Eukaryota; Metazoa; Arthropoda; Arachnida; Pseudoscorpiones; Chernetidae. The record is from the annotation of a GenBank genome assembly.
AACAUUUACAGUCAGUUGGAGGUGGGGGUGCCGACGUCAUCCUUCCGGUCACGUGUUAUACAUGAGUGGCAGCGCUGGUGUCCAACAGAAAUGUCGCUAUUUCUCUUUGAAAAUAAAUUUCGAUUUUUAAAAGAAACAUUCGCUGUAUAAUUUUAAUUUUCGUUUUACAAUCAUCAGCCGCGUUAUAUUGUAGUUUAAUCUACCAUACCGCUGUUAUAUUGCAUGACAAUGGUUAUAGCUAAUUGACCAAAUGGGAUGGCCUUCUAGCUCUACUACUGGCUGAAAUGAAUCAGACUGACCACGGCAAAGGGUGCAGGUAACUUGGGGAGAUACAGCAACAUCGCAAUAUCCCCCGCGACAACACCCAAGGAAUCACCAAGCCCGCCACCCAACGCAACGCGCGCAGGGGCGGUGCGAAACGCAUCUCCAGCCCCAUCCGCGACGAGACGCGCGGCGCCCCCAAGGCGCCCCUGGAGAGUGUGACGCGUGCUAAUGCUCUAAGAACAUAGGUGAGUAUCCCUGGGUCAGAGGGAAAGAGAGGAAGAGGUUUCAAGUUAAGAAAGGUGGGCAAUUGUGAAAAACAGUGAAAAGGGAGCGGAAGAGAAGAAAGAAAAAAUAAAAAUAAAAUAAAAAUAUAAAUAAAAAUGAAUGAGGUGAAUUAAAAAAAAAAGAAAAUAAAUACUAAUAAUAAUAAAAUAAUAAAAAUAAAAAAAUAACAAAAUUGAACAAAUAAAUCUAGGAGAUAAGUAAAAUAAAAAAAAAUAAAAGAAAAUAAUAAUAUUAAUAAAACAAAAAAUAAUAAUUAAAAUUAAAAAAUAAAAUAUUUUAAUAAUAAUAUUAAGAAUAAAAAUAAAAUAAAGAAUUAAAAGAAAGAAAAAAGAUUUAGAAGAGGACAGGAUAGAAAAAAAAAAGUGAUGAAGAGAAGAAAACACAGCGCCUGGGGAUGUUGGUGUAGAACAAGCACAAAAAAAAAAAGGACCUUAUCAAAGGAGCCAGAACAUUUUUUUCUUUUGAGGAGAAAGUAAUUUCAGAGUACAAAAUCUGGAAGUACUAAAUCGCAUCUUUUGCCAACCAAUGAAAAUGAGCGGCCGUCAAAUCACAAAACCCCGGUUGUGACGUCGCGCGAUUAAUCGACCAAUCAGCGUGCGGCGUCCAAUUUCAACCGCGGCCCUCUAACCCUUGGGUGAUUAGAGACGGCGCUUGGUGAAAUCCCGUCCACAAGCCAGUUGGCAAAUUAAAAGUUUGACAUCGCAUACAAAAUUAGUGAUACACGCAUAUGCAGGUAAAACACUGAUGUAAAGUUUAGGUGGAAUUAGAGUCGGGAACCUCCUCUGAUUCCACCUCUCGGAUCCGCGGUCUCAGCCUGUCGCAAGCCAGGAGAAAAUCGAUACAGGCUCGCCAGGUUAAACAACUGUGGGUGAAGUCGCGGAGCGCCCUCGGCGUGUAACCGAGUUCCCUCCCCGCUAUAAAAAAUAGAGAGUUCUGAGGGAGCCCAGACUGUCACACUCGAGCAUGAUAUGUUCCAGAGUUUCUUCCUCUCCAGAGUCACAGAAAGGGCAGAUAGGAUCAUCAAUAUGUCCAAGUCUGUGAGCAAAGCUGUCUGUCCAUGUGUGUCCAGUCAGCAGGCCAAUCACGGCGUGGACACUAGGAACGAUGUACGCAUGUUUUUUGUCCAAGAGACUCAUGGGAGAGAGGCCAAAGCGGGUGAAGAUUGUGCGCUCGGCGGAGCUGAACCUGGCCUGCCAAGCUGCCCACGCCCGCUUGUAGAUUGUCGAUUUAAGUUUCGACAGCGGUGCGAGGCGAUAGCAGCUCGGGAGAUCAGAUUCCGCCCCGCGUUUCGCGAGCACAUCAGCUACCUCAUUACCAAAAAUCCCUCUGUGGCCUUUGAUCCAUUGUAUGGUACAUCUGUUCCCAUUGCGGUUCAGUUGUGAAAUCAGCAACAAGGCUCUGUUGACCAGGAGGUUGCCAGUUCUGGAGUUUAGAACGGAUUUCACAACUGAGAGGUUAUCCAGGAGAAUUUCAAUGGUGUAAUUGUCGGGAAGCUUUGAGGCGUCCUCAAGUGCUUUAAGCAAGCCAAGUGCCUCCGCUUGGAAGACAGAACAGUACGAGGACAGGACAAAGCUUUCACGCAGUUCAUUCAUGGAGCCAUUCGCACACACUCUAAAUAGGCCUGUGCCAACUCCAGUUUUCGUCUUGGAACCAUCUGUGUAGUAGGUGACGUCAGCCGAAAGAUCAGGAAUAUUAAUGGGAGCGGAGUAAUAGGGAGGAUAGGGAAGUGGGUGAGGGCAGGGGGGAGGCUCGACUGGAAAAUCAGCGUCAACAAAACUGUGCUUUUUAAAAUACAAUUCCGCCUUGGCGCCGACAUCCAGAUCGAGAGGGAGAACACGUGAAAGAGAGAUGAGAGAGCUAUUUGCAGUUGUUUUAAACGCGCGGCAUGUCCUGAUGAGGAACGGGCGCUGCGCGCUUAAGAGAGUGUUUAAGGAGCGUUGUUUAAGAUUAGAAAACCACACAGGAGAAGCGUAAGAGAUGGCUGGGACCACGACCUGGAGAUAGAGCAUCCUCAGGGCACGGAAACCAAAGCCAAAAUUGGAGUUGGCGGCUGCUGUCAAACGCGGGAGAAAUCCGCGGACUCUGGUGCAAACCUCAACCACAUGCUGGUGGAAGGUGAGACGCUGAUCAAACCUUACGCCCAGCACUUUGAUUGAGUCGCUCCAUUGAAUGGGUUGACCAUUAAUGGUUAGAUCGCAGCUAGGCUUUAGUAGUCUGCCAGUACGUCUUAGAAGGAGCAUGGCCUGACACUUCCUCACGCUGAGUUCCAGUUUAUGCAGGCCACACCACCUCGUGAUCUCGUUAAUGGCAAGUUGCGCCGCUCCAAGUUGAUUAGUAACUUGGCCCGACACCACCAUAACAAGAUCGUCGGCGUAGGCCUGCGGGUGUACACAUUUUUUAAAGUUGAGCGUGAGGAGCUCGUCAAAGACAAGGUUCCAAAGAAACGGCCCAAGAACUGAGCCCUGCGGGCAGCCUUUGGAAACCUGCCUCGUGACCGUGCAACCAUUCAUAGACAGUCUGACAACACGGUUAUUGAGGAAGAAGCGAAUCAGGACAAACAGGUUUUUUGGACAAUCAUUCAUACACAGAGCUCGCAAUAUGCUGGAGUGUAGCACAUUGUCAAAAGCGCCUUUCACAUCAAAGGAAAGAAGAAUAGAAGAUUUUCUAUGCUGAAGCGACCGGGAGAGAUUAUUUUUUAAAUUUAGAAGUGCGGCGACAGUAGAUCUGCAGGGCCUGAAACCGAACUGGUUUGGUUGGGCUUUACACAUUCUCUCAGCUCGCCACGAGAGCCUGGCCAGGAUUAGACGCUCUAGAAUUUUACCUAAGCCAGGCAGCAUCGUGAUGGGCCGAUGAGACGCGAGAAAGUCCUCACCACCUUUUUUGGGAAUGAGUAUGACAUCACCCAGUUUCCAAGGAGUUGGAAAAUGUCCAGUUUCAAAGCACCUAUUAAAGAUCUUUAAAAAAAACGUCGGGAGUUUUUUAAUUAAUUUAACAAUGAGAAGAGGUGGCAUACCAUCACUGCCAGGAGCAGAAGUUAGGCUAACCUUAUCCGCAGCCAGUAGCAGUUCUAUUUCUGAGAACGGUGGGUCGUUAUCAGAGGUGGACUGCACGGCUUUAUGUAAGUUAACAUGCUCUACUGUUAUAUCGGGCGGGACACGGCCGAAGUAAUGUUUUAAUACGUGUUCUAGAGUGUCCCGCGGACUGUCAGUGAGAUCAUCGCCAACCAGGAGAGAGGCUUCCUCUUAGUGGAGCCUUUAAUAAAUUUAUAAACGCCGCCCCAGGGGCUAACCUCACAAAGCGAACAGAUCCUUCUCCAUUCAGCAGACUUCGCGUGUCUGAUAGAGGUGCGAAAUCUAUUAUAUAAUUUCUUAUAAAAUAUCUUUAACACGCUUCUAACAGGCCCACGAGCUUUUCUCCAGGCCCGUUCAGCUUUUUGAGUAACCUUUUGGAGCGGAUUUAGUUCAGGUUUCCACCAAGUGGGUUUCUUAAAAAAAAAAUUAUUGGCGGCAGGUUUAGAGGGAAUGGUUUGUAGACACGAGUGAAACACCUCGUCUUUUAGUAAAUUAAUUACUUCAUCAACUUGAGUUGUGUCACUCGCGUCCAGUAAGGAGGAAAUUCUAAAAAUUUUUUUUUUAAAGCUAGAAAAAAAAUUCCUAAUCAGCGCGACCAAAGCUGAAGUGUACUUCUCUAAAGUUGUUUAUGAUGCUUGACUCUUCGAAUGGGUAUUUUAGAUGAACUAUGGACGUAAGCUUUUAGGACAGAAGAAUUACAUAUAAUUAUAAAUAUAUAAUAAGCUUCGAGCAAUCGCUCUUCCGCAAAUAUCAAUUUGUGUCUUUUAUUCGAACAAUUAUAUUUCGAUGCACUAGCGCGCCAUCUGUUAUCAAAUUACAAAACUAUUUUGGACGCGUAAUAUUCUUUUAAAAAUAAAACAAUUUCUAAUGCCCUUACUUGCGAUUAUUAUCAUUAUAUUACUUUAUUUAUUUAUUUUAGAUUAUAAUUUUAUUAUUAUAUAUAUUUAUUUAUUUCUCUCUCAAAGAUCAUAGUCUUUGACGAGUCUAAUAUUUGUUUUUAACUCGUGCUUUAGAUGUUGUACUAAAUUCGAAAAAUCACGUGAGAACGCCCUUGCAACCUCAGAACAAUUUUUAACGCCUUGCCAAAUGUUUUAUUUUUAUUUACUUCUCCUGACGAAGACAAAAUAUUUUUGUCGAAACGUUGAGAAAAAAAAAAAAAACACUAACUGGCCGAAGUGUCUAUUUUUCACAGAAAUAUGAAUGCCGGUCAGGCAACCCCUAUCUUAACGAUAUCUCCAGAUUGCCUUUCAGGCACAUAACCCCAGUUUCAUUUUAGAUAUGUUCAUUGAUUUCAUUAUUUUUAGUGAUAGUUUUUAUUUGAUGUGUUUGUUUUGUGUGUGUGGAAUUUUAACCAGAUUAUAAUUGUAGUUUCAUAAAAAUGUAUAUAUGUGCGUUUGUGUGUGAAUACUUGUUUAUAUUAUGCCGUUUUUUCAUUUUUAUUUUGUACAUAUAUUACAGUGUUGUCCGUCUAAAAGUAUUUCAAGAUCAUUGAUUUACUAUUCUUCUUUUUUUUCCAACACUGUCUAGUUUAGAAGUGUUAGAAAGGUUCUUAUGUGGGUUUCCUAAAUAACUUUAUUAUAUUCAGUAUUUCUCUUUUUAGAGAACUAUAUAUACUUACAUUUAAGCAUGAAUUAGUAUUUAAGCAUAUUAAAUUAGUAAAAUCGCUGAGAGGGUUUACAACUGAUGAGCCAAGCCCUCCAAAUGUUGUCUAUUUCAAUAGGGUCUACUGCAAUAUGGUACCUAUGGCCCUUCGAGGGACUUUGACACCCGAGGACUUAUGAAACAGUUCACUAAUGCCUUUCCUAAAUAUCGGGAAUGGGUUUCAGAGGUAAUUCUCAUUUCUGAAACUGCCAGAAGCCAAGUUGCCGCGACAUUUCAAAACCGAUCCCCUCUUUUCUGAAACAAUGGAAGACGUGGGAUUCUUUUGGGGAUAAAUGCACAGGUUUCUGGACAAAACUCUUCCCCCUCUCUACAAAACCUUUGUGCUGUGCCAAGCACAGCGUGAAUGUUUCUUACACUCCUACUGAAGUAUCAGUCCAGAGCAUUGUCGAAGAUUCUACCAUCAGGUGAUACCGAGAUACGGGAAACAGAAAGGGAAAACAUUCAAAGAGGAGAGUCAAAGAGGCUUCGCAGACAAAGAUAAUAGAAAUCCAGUGUUAUAUAUACUUAUCCCCCGAUUUACACGGUACUUGUUUUACACGUUUUCGCUUUUCCACGGUUUUCCAAAUAAGUUUUUU